AGUUGGGGACCACUGUGCCAGACCCUGGGACUGGGGUGUCCAUGGGUACUUGGUGGAGGUGGCAAUUGGGUGGGACAGAGCACAAAUAAGACUCUGUGUCUUGCAGGUGGGACAGUGGCCCAGCAGGUCCCAGUGCAGGCCAUUCAAGUGCACCAGGCCCCACAGCAAGCGUCUCCCUCCCGUGACAGCAGCACAGACCUCACGCAGACCUCCUCCAGCGGGACAGUGACGCUGCCCGCCACCAUCAUGACGUCAUCCGUGCCCACAACUGUGGGUGGCCACAUGAUGUACCCUAGCCCGCAUGCGGUGAUGUAUGCCCCCACCUCGGGCCUGGGUGAUGGCAGCCUCACCGUGCUGAAUGCCUUCUCCCAGGCACCAUCCACCAUGCAGGUGUCACACAGCCAGGUCCAGGAGCCAGGUGGCGUCCC
RNAcentral lists this long non-coding RNA (428 nucleotides) under Pan troglodytes (chimpanzee). Its description in RNAcentral is "long non-coding RNA NONPTRT014638". Lineage: Eukaryota; Metazoa; Chordata; Mammalia; Primates; Hominidae. The record is from RNAcentral.